CCUACGGGUGGCAGCAGUGAGGAAUAUUGGUCAAUGGGAGGAAUCCUGAACCAGCCAUGCCGCGUGCAGGACGACGGCUCUACGAGUUGUAAACUGCUUUUGUACCGGGGUAAAAUGCUCGACGAGUAGGGGUUUGAAAGUACGGUACGAAUAAGGAUCGGCUAAGUCCGUGCCAGAAGCCGCUGUAAGACGGAUGAUUCGAGCGUUAUCCGGAUUCAUUGGGUUUAAAGGGUGCAGAGGUUGGUUUAUAAGUUAGCGGUGAAAUAUCGAUGCUCAACAUCGGGGCUGCCGCUGAUACUGUAGGACUAGAGAUCGCAUGCAGCAGGCGGAAUGUGUAGUGUAGCGGUGAAAUGCAUAGAUAUUACACAGAACACCGAUUGCGAAGGCAGCUUGCUAGGCCGGAUCUGACACUGAUGCACGAAAGCGUGGGGAUCGAACAGGAUUAGAUACCCCUGUAGUC
Molecule: ribosomal RNA, 460 nt
Filed under: uncultured bacterium
Lineage: Bacteria
Description: partial 16S ribosomal RNA
Rfam family: Bacterial small subunit ribosomal RNA
Source: RNAcentral